UUCUGAACGUUUUCAAUAGAUUAGUCAUUUUAAUUUCAAUUCAAUUUUUACACCGUUUUCAUAAAUUGAUAUCAAAAUAAUAAUAGAAACAAUGGAUUGUCCACUUAGAGAAUUAAAAACUUGUAKACUGUUGUGGCAGACAAACAAUGCUGGGUAUUAAGUCUAUGGUGUGAUUGAAGUUGGUAUAAUUUAUAAUUGUAUAAAAUCUAUCGAUAAUCAAUAAAUUAUCGAUUUAUGAUGCGUAGUUAAAGCGGAAUAAUUAMUACAACACAGAAUCUCUUCUCAAAACCCUUCAAGCACGUUACCAAAUUUAAUUAUAGUAUUCUGCUUAAAAAGAUACUUGUCAUAAGCAGAUACUAUAAAAACUUUCUGCAGAAGAUACACAAUUAAGCUCAUGAAUAAUGAACAGUCAAUACCAGUGUUCAACUUAUGGUCGCAUGUGUUAUUAAAAUGUUAUGUGAUAACAUAAUCUAUAGAUCAACAAAUAACAGCUUAUAAAUUCAAAACUAUGUCCUACGAUCAUAUGAGAAGAGGAACUAUUACUGUACCAAAACUGCAAUGAACUUUAAACAGUGAUACAGCUCCUUGUCUACUGCCAAAAACUAAACUAGAAUACACCUAAAAAUUCUGAACAAUCUGUAUGAACCUUUGAACCCUCAAGAAAGAAAAAAAGUUGAGGCUGUUACACCAUUAAAAAAUAUUAAUAGUUUUGGGCUGAGUAAAAUUAAUUUAUAUUCCAACAAUAUUUGGUUCUUUUACUCACAUUUUUCUGGAAUAAAUGCUCCAACAGUUAACAUAUUUAUUAAUCACUUUAAUUAAGAAAUUGCAUACAAAAGCUACUAAAAAAACAGCCAUCAAAGCUUAUGGCAGACUAAUUUUGAUAUAAAUUUACUUUUAGUAAUAAACUAAUAAACAUUAUUCCCAUGUAUUACUGGAAACAAAAUUUUUCCCAAUGUAUUACAAAUUUU
Molecule: long non-coding RNA, 968 nt
Organism: Diuraphis noxia (Russian wheat aphid)
Lineage: Eukaryota; Metazoa; Arthropoda; Insecta; Hemiptera; Aphididae
Source: RefSeq, a predicted model, not a curated record